GGUGCAGAUGAUGACACUGUUAAGCGACCAAAGUCUGACAAUAAUGAUUCCUACCACAUUGUCUGAUGCACC
Molecule: small nucleolar RNA, 72 nt
Filed under: Rhinolophus ferrumequinum (greater horseshoe bat)
Lineage: Eukaryota; Metazoa; Chordata; Mammalia; Chiroptera; Rhinolophidae
Source: RNAcentral